Molecule: long non-coding RNA, 1756 nt
Filed under: Vigna radiata
Lineage: Eukaryota; Viridiplantae; Streptophyta; Magnoliopsida; Fabales; Fabaceae
Description: long non-coding RNA (VRAD_LNC018044)
Rfam family: Plant small nucleolar RNA U3 (bases 280-501)
Source: RNAcentral
AGGGUAUGCAAGAUAUAUGAUGAUUGGAAACGUUAGAAAUGUUUGAGUGAUUUGAAUGCUUCAUAAACUCUUAAUUUGAAGGCUUUUAUAUGAUAUUUAGAGACAUGAUGACAUGUAGUUUCCAGACCAGUUAUCAAUAAAAUAUUUCAGUUAAAUGAUGGCACACACGCAUCACUGCACCCAAGCAAUGCGGGAUGUUUGUGGAAUCGGAAUUGUCCCACAUCGAAAACGUUUCAAAAAUUAAAAUAGUUUAUAUAGUUCAACGAAAUAGAUUUGGCCACGACCUUACUUGAACAGGAUCUGUUCUAUAGGUUCGUACCUCUGUAUCCUUAAGUUCUAAGGAGACAGGAACUGAAAUCUGGUGGAUGAUCUAUGACUCUGUGAUCAGAGCGUGAUUAACGGCUAGAUGAACUUCUCCUCGGAUUAGUGAAAUCUCCAGCUGUAGAGGAUCGUUCCUGGUCAGCAGUGGCUUAGGAUGGUCACAGAGUUGUCUGACAGAUUCUCUAAAGUAAUUUUAAUUUUUUGGAAAAUUCAGAUUCUCUUAAAAUAUUACUCUUGUUUUUGUAUGUUAUUAAAAACACAUUGCAAAAAUAUGAGAUCUACAUAAAUUAUUUAUGUAUUUCAUUGUAAAAUUAGAUAAAAAAAAAUAUUAAUAAAGUUUACUUGUGCUAAGUUUUUAAAAAGAGGUACAUUAAGUUUAGAAAGAAUUGACACAAAAAAUAUUAAACUAAAUAAUAUUAAGAAUAAAGAAAAAAUAUAAAUUAAAAUAUAUAAUAAAAAUAUAAUGUAUUAUGAUCUAAAUUAAAAAAAGAAAUCACUUGUCUUUAUCUAAAUUUGGUCAGUUAUCCUAAAACCUAAUUUAAUAUUAAAUUGAAAAAAUACAAUGGAAAAUGCUUUGUAGUGAUUAUGUCAGACGAAUGAAGCAAUGCUAAAAACUGAUGGAGGAGACUUCCAUUGAUUUUGACAGACGAUUUGAUUACGGAUAAAAUAUAUUUUAAUACACGUUUUAAACUCAUUGUUUUGUUAUUAAUAUGUGAUUCAACAUGGUGUUCUUUAUUUAGUAAUUCUUUUAAAAUAAUUAUUAUUUAAUUAACCUUUGAAAUAACUUUUUUAAAAUAAACAAGUAUUUCUUUAGAUUUUAUCAGCACCAGACUGUAUUAAUAAGGGGCCAUGAUUUUGUUUUUAGUAGUUUUUUUAAUAGAAUUAUUUAUUAAGUCGUGUUAUGCAAAUUGAUAAAGAAUAUUAAAAAACUUUACUCAUUAUAUAUCUUAGUUCAUCAUUUUUUAGUAUUAACAGUGUUUUUUAAGACUCUUUUUUAAUAAAUUGUUACGAAAAUGAUGUACUUUCUGUCAUUUAUUUUGGCUAGAUUAGAAGCGAAGUCAGCGUAGGAAUAGAUGAUUACUAAAAUGAGAUAUUGAUUACCACAAAGUAAAAAAAGAAAAAAAAAAAAAAAAAGUAAAAAAUCAAGAGCCGAUAAAAUCACCGGUGUGUGCUGGUAACCUUCGAACACAACACAUGGAAGUGACUCUGACGAGCUUGCUUCAUCACCGCUGUGCAUGAUCACUAAGUGGAAGGUGUUCCAUCUUCCAUUUUCGCAGACAAAUUAAGAAAAAUUAUAUUUUUUCACCUUUUCUUUGGCGUCUGAAACUGUUUUCCUUUCAUGGGUGAAUCCACCAUUCCUCAUUUUCAGCAUCUAAUGGCGAAAAAAUUGCUCUUUUUGUUGACCCUUUUGGAAAUACUCCUCUGUGGGCAAUCC